UCUGUAAGCCUGCGAAGGUGUGCUGUGAGGCAUGCUGGAGGUAUCAGAAGUGCGAAUGCUGACAUAAGUAACGAUAAAGCGGGUGAAAAGCCCGCUCGCCGGAAGACCAAGGGUUCCUGUCCAACGUUAAUCGGGGCAGGGUGAGUCGACCCCUAAGGCGAGGCCGAAAGGCGUAGUCGAUGGGAAACAGGUUAAUAUUCCUGUACUUGGUGUUACUGCGAAGGGGGGACGGAGAAGGCUAUGUUGGCCGGGCGACGGUUGUCCCGGUUUAAGCGUGUAGGCUGGUUUUCCAGGCAAAUCCGGAAAAUCAAGGCUGAGGCGUGAUGACGAGGCACUACGGUGCUGAAGCAACAAAUGCCCUGCUUCCAGGAAAAGCCUCUAAGCAUCAGGUAACAUCAAAUCGUAC
This 406-nucleotide ribosomal RNA is filed under the name Escherichia coli. RNAcentral describes it as "partial 23S ribosomal RNA". It matches the Rfam family "Bacterial large subunit ribosomal RNA", at positions 1240 to 1647 of the family's 2925-position model. Lineage: Bacteria; Pseudomonadati; Pseudomonadota; Gammaproteobacteria; Enterobacterales; Enterobacteriaceae. The record is from RNAcentral.